GCAGACACAUUCCAGCCCAUCAGCAGCAGACCCUCCCUCCCAGUCCCUCCCACCUCCUGGACAGCAUCCAUUUUACAUUCAUUGUGAAGCUGCAUUCUUAGUGAGCUGUCCAAGAGGUGGGAGGGUCUGGGAGGGAGGGUCUGCUGCUGAUUGGCUGGAAUGUGUCU
Molecule: microRNA precursor, 167 nt
Filed under: Pelobates cultripes (western spadefoot toad)
Lineage: Eukaryota; Metazoa; Chordata; Amphibia; Anura; Pelobatidae
Source: RNAcentral